Neofelis nebulosa (Clouded leopard) is the source of this 3711-nucleotide long non-coding RNA. RefSeq lists it as uncharacterized. The transcript is spliced from 4 exons. Lineage: Eukaryota; Metazoa; Chordata; Mammalia; Carnivora; Felidae. The record is from RefSeq and is a predicted model, not a curated record.
GAUGUAAUGUAAUUCCAUAUUUAAAAGAUCCUGGGUGCUCUAAGUACAGCGGACUAUGGGGGGGUGGGGCACGAGUGGAAGCUGGAAGGCCAGUAAGAGACUGCGGUGUUUGUCCCCGGAAAGAGUGGCAGCGGCAUGGAUUUACAUGGUAGCAGGUGGAUCCAUCUGUUCACCCAUCCCUUCUUUCUGCCCUCCCUUCCUCAUCCCUUCAUCCAUCCAUUUAUUAACCGAACACUUAUUAAGUGUCUAUGGAGAGCCAGGCACAAUGCUGGGUUUAUAAGGACGAAUUAAACGUGGUUCCCGACCGCAAGGAGCUCACAGAACGGCAGGUCCCUGAGCCUGCAAUGUAACGGUAAUGAAUGUCCCAGUGCAAAGUACCCCGCGGGCUCAUGGGACGUGAUUCACCGAGCCCGGGAUGUUGGAAAAGGCCUCGUGGAGGACAUGUCGGUGUUUGAGAUGUUGGAAGGUCUGAGAUGUUGGAGGGGCAGCUCGGGGAAGGGUGAGGAGGCAGCACGAGUGAGUGUCCUGCAAAUAUGUGGCUGUCCAGGUUGGUGGGAUCAACGACCAGGUGCGUGGAGGGACACCACGGGAAAGGGGUUCUGGGCCAGCUUGGGGAGGGGUGGGGACACAUGCCUGUGACUUCCUGCUCAGCUCCGCCUGCCCCUACCGGAGCGGAGUAAUUUAAUUAAGUACCAGCCCUUAAACAAGAUGCAGCUGUUUAGCAGAUGUUGCCUUUCACCCCAGAUGGAGGCACAUCUUGGCGACGGGCACAGCGUUUCCAGGGCGCCUAAUUUGUAAGGCUGCGGAGAGGAAAGAAAUUCAAGAUGCGGCCGUUAUUAUUUAAUGGCCAUCGUUCAUGACACACACACACACACACACACACACCCAGCACCACAGCCACAUGGCCACCAUUCCUGUUGGCUCGGAAUAGAGACAGAGGCAGGCCCCGGGGAGGGUGAUUUGCUGGUUCUCAGAGAACAAGAGAAGAAAAGCGGAGGAAAAGGUCACCAAUCUGCAGAACCCCCAAGAACGUUUAUACGAGUGGGAAGCAGCGACUUAUCCCUCAUUUUGCGCAAAAGGGGCACAAUCGGUAACCACGAUCUAUUGAACUCUAACUCAGGAGCCAGGCGCUGUGCCAGGUGCUUACACGUACCUUGUCUCUGCCUCUCUAAUCCUCCCAACAGCCACGCUCGGUCCUACCUCAGGGCCUUUGCCCUUGCUUUCUCCCCUGGCCAAGGAACAGUCUUCUUUCAGAGGCCCACAGGGCUAAUUCCCCAAAGACCUUCAGGCCUCACAAUAAAUGUUGCCUCCCCAUAGAGUCUUUCCCUGACCAGCCUACAUAAAAGGCACCCUUCUCCAUAAGUCUCCACCCCUUACCUUACUUGCUUGCUUUUCCUUUUCCUUCAUUACCAUAUAUAUAUAUAUAUAUAUAUAUAUAUAUAUAUAUAUAUCUUGUGUCUGUUUCUCUCCUCUAGAGUUUAAAUUUCCAAGGGCAAGGAUUUUUGUCUGUUUUAUUCCUUGCCAGCUCUCCAAUAUGCACAAGAAUGCCUGACUCAAGACAGAAUCCUAUAAAUAUUUGUUCAAUGGGUAGAGAAAUGAUCAAUGGAUCUCACCGAACAUAUAAAAAGAUUGUCAGGGAGACAAAAUUACUCUCCCAAGAGUUACACAUCCGGCAAGGGGUGAGUUGGGAUUUGAGUUUGGGUCUGUCCCUUUCCUAGGGACUUUUCCUUCUCCGUAGCACUUAUCACCACUUAUGUAUUAUUUCUGGGGCUGUGUUUGGUGUCUUUCUCCUCUCCCACCGGAAUGGGGGCUCCAGUGAGAACAGAGUUCAUGUGUUUUGCUCAUAGUUGUCUCCCCAGCACCCAGACAGAGCUCCCCAGCACCCAGGAAGCAGCUCAUAAAUAUACACUGAGCAACACUUUAUUCUCACAAGCAAUCCUGCAAAGUAUGUUUCCUCUGUGCUAUUUUACACAUGGGGACAUUGAGGCUCAACCAGAGAAGUGAUUUGCCUUGCUUAAGGUCAUUUGGCUAAUGAAUAGAGAGCUGGGAUUUGAACCCAGGCCUCCUGAGCUCAUUGGUCAUGGAGAAGGGGACCCCCAUUUAACGCUUGCUGGUUCGACCCACCCAAAGGCAACAGCUGCUUGGCCGAAAGCUCCACUCACAACCUACCAGGGAAGGCAUUUCCCCCUCAAGGUCAGCAGUGUCAGGGCCGAUGUGAAACUCACCCUUAAUGCACAACUCCCCAGUUUCGUCCAUUUAAGUGAAAACUUUGAUGUUAUUUUAACCCAAAUCCCCCGUUGACUUCAAUGGAAGCUUUGAAUCCACGAGGAAGGUCAGACAGUGUUUUUGGAGGUAACAUGGGCACCCAAUGGAAAUCAUAUUAGCAUACUCAUUAUCAUCAGGGCCCUUUGAAUGUGUUUUUUAGCUGCUCCCUUAAAGUUGACUUGGUGACAAUGGAUCCUUUCUGUUCAGGAAUCACUGGGCCAGAGUGGAGCUGUGGUCGGCUCCUGUGUGCUUUUCUGUGCUUUUCAAAUGAUGACAGUGAACCCAUGUUGCAUAAGGGAAAUGUUCAAACUACGGAAAAGUGCAGAGAAUCGUACGAUGACCCCACUACCUGGUACCAGCCUCAUCAAUCCGCAACACGGAGUCCCUCCGGUGUGAGGGGGUUUAAGAAUCCCUAAUUUCAGCAGGACAUGUGGCAGCCCAGAAUGAAGAUCACACUUCCCUGCUUUCUUUCCGAAUCCUAGUCAUGCUGGACUAUGUGAUGAAUUAAAGAUGGCUACUGAUUCUUUGGUCCUUCUCCCUUCAAGAGGAAGAGUUUGUUUGGACUUCCUCUCCGCUUAAAUCUGGGCUGGCCUGUGACUUAUUGGACCAAUAGAAUACAGUGGAAAUGAUGCUCUGCCAAUUCCGGACUUUGUCCUUAAGGCAACUGGCAGAUUCUGCCAUGGUCUCUUGGAUCCAUGGCUGCCAAGGAAAAGGUCAAACCACUCUGCUGGAGAGACCCCCCCUGGAGAAGCCCUAAGACCUUACGGAAAGGAAUUAGGGACCCAGCUGAGCUCAGCACUGCAGUCUUCCCAAACCAUCUUGAUCCUCCAGAUGAAACCAAUCAUCAGCUGAACGCGGCCAAGUGACUAGUCAACGCCCAUGGAUCAGAAGGACCGCCCAGCUGAGUCCUGGCCGAAUUUCAGGCCCGCAAAACUGUAGAAAAUAAUAAACAUGAUUAUUGUUUGGGGAGUGUCUGUUGGGUACCAAUACGUAACCAGAACAGACCAUGAGAUAGAAGGUAUUUGUUGAGGAUGCUGUAACAAUUACACCAUCUGGAGGCCUGGCCGCCUCCGGAUAUUUUGUCCUACACGAAAAGUAGACUCUGUUUGUUUAAGCUUUGAUGAUACCUUGGGUCGUGGCUCAUGGCCUCAGUUUCCCCACGAUUAUUCAUUGGAGCAUUAACGCCUGCCCUGUUACCUCCUUUUGCAUGUAAUACAAACAGUGCAUAUCCAAAAAGACCAUGGGGCGUGCCCAAGUCGUUAUGAUACAUUUCAUGUGUCCGUAAUCGGAUACGAACUUGUCAGGGGGCCAACUGCGAUGGGUUUUGGAAUCAGAUAUGUUGGGACUGGAAGCUCAACUCUGCUACUUUCUAAUGUGAAAAAUCGGACCAGCCACUGAAUCUCUGUGAGCUUUGUUUCCUCAUCAAUAAAAAACAGACGAUGCCUA